This 2154-nucleotide long non-coding RNA is filed under the name Triticum aestivum (bread wheat). Its description in RNAcentral is "long non-coding RNA (TAES_LNC003495)". Lineage: Eukaryota; Viridiplantae; Streptophyta; Magnoliopsida; Poales; Poaceae. The record is from RNAcentral.
UCAUGUAUCCUUUGGAUGGAAAAGAGAGUAUGUGCUCAGCUCAUGAUUAAGUAUUCAGAUAUUUGACAUAUUCCUUGACAGUGUAGUAUUUAAUUACAUAAUAUUUGUGCUUCCAGAAGUGUCGCAAGAGUAAAAAAUCUGCAUGUGCUGCUCCAAGUAAAAUGAAGAGCAUGGUUGUUCAAGAAGAUUUGCUGAAAAAUGGUGCCUUCGUGGUUGCCCCGGUGAGUUGAUCUCGUGGUGACGUUUUGUUGUUUCUUAAAUAUGCAGGUUGCUUACAACAAAGUAGAAUUGUUCCAGAUGUAUUUUGCAUGCUCUAAGAAUUUGAUCGACAUCUUAUAUAUGCCCACUCUACCGUUUUCUUUAUCAAGCAUGUAAAGUUAAACCACUGGUUUUAUAUCUCCUUUAUUUAUUCCAUUUAUAUAGUCUCCAAAUGCUAUAAGGGAUUCUGUUGGUGCUCUAUUAACAUGAUUGCAUUUUUUGUUACUUCAUAAUAUUGCUGACAAAAUCUUAUUCUGCUUUCAGUGUGAGAGCGAGUUGUAUGUUGUAUGAACUAAGCGCAAAUUCAUAUUGGUCGGUUUAGCGGCUCGCUUGCAUUGACGACUGUGUGUAGGCGUGCUGCCAUAUCUGAGGCUAUAAUACAACAUUUUGUAUUUCUCAUGGAAGGAUGUGCCUGUGGUCCUUAAGGAUGUGGUUCACGGGGUUUGACUAUGGUUUGAUUGUCAAAUGAAAGGUCCCAGGUGAACUUCUGCUACUUUUGGUCUUAUCUCUCUACAUCUCCCCUUACAAUGAUUCAUAUUUUUCUGCCUCCAUUUUGUUUCUACAUACGAUGAAUUAUCUCUUUGCCAUAGUUACCUUUUUUUGUCCCCUGCAUAUCCAAAUCGAAAAAUACUUGUGGUUUGGUACAGUUGUAUUGCAAGUCGAAAAAUAUUGUAUGUGUUAAUAUCGGAUGGUCCAAGUUGAAAUUCAGUUUAUAUUAUUCAAUAUGCAUUCUAACAAACAUCUUGUGUUUGGCAUCAUUCUAAAAAAUAUUAAGUUCUGGUGUUAAUCGCAAGCAAAUAAGGGUAAGACACAUACCAUUUAUAUGUCAUUAAACGUUAUCACAAUUUCUAUGUUAUUAUAUUUUACCUCUGGUACUACAUUGUGAUCUUUCAAGGAAUUACUGCUUCCUUUCUACCCCUGGUUUUCUUUUUGUAGGAUAUUGUAGCCUCACUAGGAUGGAUUAAGAGUGUCAUCUGCUCCCUUUCCCUAAUCAAAUAGGACUUCCAAACUAAUGAUACUUGCACUCCUUUUUAUCUGUUGAUCUCUUUAAUUCUGAUUACAACUUAUGUUUCACAAAUAUAUGAAGGUUUCUACUCUUUUUCAGUGGUCCUUAGUUGAUCUCUUUGAUUUUUGAUUACAUAUUGUCUCUCUGAUUGUAAGUGAUUUUGCUGUUGUUUGUAGUUGGCACUUCUCAUUUCAGAAAUCAGCUAUCCUGGUAUUUAACCAUGUGAGUUUAGAGAGAACAACCAAAGGAGGAACAAGCUCAAGACAUGUUUAGCAGCUUCUGCUAAGUAAGUAUCCUUAGAACCUUCAACUCCAAAUAAAACAAAAAUUCAAGAGUAUGUUCUUCACAUAUGAAAUAGAUAGAUGCUGACAUGCUUGCUGCAUCUGAUGAGAUUGUGGAUCAAGAAGUUAAUGGACAUGCUUGUGAAUCAUGGACAAUCUCGGCCUGGUAUUGUGGCUCGAGUCUGAGCUCUUGCUUGGCUUUAGGUGCAAACAUGGACCUUCAGUUCACCUAGAACAAGAAUCAAAUCCUUGUGUCAAUUGUUGUUGUGAUAGGAGGCCCAUGGCGUAUGACCAUGAUGUAUGCAUUCACUCUGGGAUCUGAGAAUAAUUUGUUGAUCCUGUCUGAAAGAUAGUGGUUCGAUAGUGAAUUUAUCCACUUAUUUGUUGAUUUUUUUUCUUUUGUUGUGUUAUGUAUGGAGAUGCAGAUUCUCAGGCUUCAGGUUUUAGUUUUGGUAGUUCGAAGUGCUAUUGAUUAUGUUGUUGUAACUGGUCCUUGAUCAGCAUGGUGACUGAAGGGAUGACUCUUGAAAAUUAAGAUCCUUAUUAUGAGAUUGAGGUGAUGUAAAACUAUGUGCUCUUGGCAAAAUGUGUACUGACUUUAUUUGUUUU